GGUUUGGCUCAGCGGACAGAGCAUCAGCCUGCGGACUCGAGGGUCCCGGGUUCGAUUCCCGGCCA
This 65-nucleotide transfer RNA is filed under the name Myotis lucifugus (little brown bat). It matches the Rfam family "tRNA". From Rfam's summary of the family: Transfer RNA (tRNA) molecules are approximately 80 nucleotides in length. Their secondary structure includes four short double-helical elements and three loops (D, anti-codon, and T loops). Further hydrogen bonds mediate the characteristic L-shaped molecular structure. tRNAs have two regions of fundamental functional importance: the anti-codon, which is responsible for specific mRNA codon recognition, and the 3' end, to which the tRNAs corresponding amino acid is attached (by aminoacyl-tRNA synthetases). tRNAs cope with the degeneracy of the genetic code in two manners: having more than one tRNA (with a specific anti-codon) for a particular amino acid; and 'wobble' base-pairing, i.e. permitting non-standard base-pairing at the 3rd anti-codon position. Lineage: Eukaryota; Metazoa; Chordata; Mammalia; Chiroptera; Vespertilionidae. The record is from Rfam by way of RNAcentral.